GCACAUUCCUCUCAUUAGGUGUGAGCACUGAACGGGCUGUUUGAAAGCCCAGUGUGCUUCUCUAGGAGCCCAUAAAAGCACUGGGAGAGGACUUAAGGGGAAAGGAGGACAGACAGGAUAGCACCUUCUUUCACAUGGAGCCUCAUUCAAAUGCCAGUGCCUUGUGCUGAAGUUGUCCUUUGAAGCAUCUGCGCAAGGUGAGUGGAUUGGAAAUUGAGAAAGGGCUUUAAUGUGUCUGUACGUUGCUGAGAAACUGCUAUCUUAAGAAGUACAUUCGGAGAGGAAUUGUGCUUCAAAGUUAGAGAUUUCUUUUUUUUC
Molecule: long non-coding RNA, 318 nt
Organism: Lagopus muta (rock ptarmigan)
Lineage: Eukaryota; Metazoa; Chordata; Aves; Galliformes; Phasianidae
Exons: 2
Source: RefSeq, a predicted model, not a curated record